GAUGAACGCUGGCGGCGUGCUUAACACAUGCAAGUCGAACGAUGAAGCCCAGCUUGCUGGGUGGAUUAGUGGCGAACGGGUGAGUAACACGUGAGUAACCUGCCCUUAACUCUGGGAUAAGCCUGGGAAACUGGGUCUAAUACCGGAUAGGAGCGUCCACCGCAUGGUGGGUGUUGGAAAGAUUUAUCGGUUUUGGAUGGACUCGCGGCCUGUCAGCUUGUUUGUGAGGUAAUGGCUCACCAAAGCGACGACGGGUAGCCGGCCUGAGAGGGGGACCGGCCAAACCAGGCCGGGGAUAAGGCCCAGACCCCUACGGGAGGCAGGAGGGGGGAAGAUUAGCCAACGGGCGCAAGCCUGAUGCAGCGACGCCGCGUGAGGGAUGACGGCCUUCGGGUUGUAAACCUCUUUCAGUAGGGAAGAAGCGAAAGUGACGGUACCUGCAGAAGAAGCACCGGCUAACUACGUG
Molecule: ribosomal RNA, 466 nt
Filed under: uncultured bacterium
Lineage: Bacteria
Description: partial 16S ribosomal RNA
Rfam family: Bacterial small subunit ribosomal RNA
Source: RNAcentral